CAAUAGCGUAUAUUAACGUUGUUGCAGUUAAAAAGCUCGUAGUUGGAUUUCUGGAGGGAGCGUCGGCCCGUAUUUACGAGUGCGUGACGUCUCUGUCCAUCCUUGCGGGAAGGCACGGCAUUGAUUUGUUGUGUCGGAUCGCAUCAUUUACUGUGAAAAAAUUAGAGUGUUCAAAGCAGGCUUUCGCUUGAAUACAUUAGCAUGGAAUAAUAAGAUAGGACUUUGGUGCUAUUUUGUUGGUUGAGCCUAAAGUAAUGAUUAAUAGGGAUAGUUGGGGGCACCUGUAUUGCGUUGUCAGAGGUGAAAUUCUUGGAUUUACGCAAGACAAACCGCUGCGAAANCGNNNGCGAAGGAUGUUUUCAUNAA
Molecule: ribosomal RNA, 366 nt
Filed under: uncultured eukaryote
Lineage: Eukaryota
Description: partial 18S ribosomal RNA
Rfam family: Eukaryotic small subunit ribosomal RNA
Source: RNAcentral